Molecule: transfer RNA, 85 nt
Filed under: Felis catus (domestic cat)
Lineage: Eukaryota; Metazoa; Chordata; Mammalia; Carnivora; Felidae
Rfam family: tRNA
About the family: Transfer RNA (tRNA) molecules are approximately 80 nucleotides in length.
Source: Rfam by way of RNAcentral
GCCUGAGUGGCUUAGUCAGUUAAGCAUCCGACUUUGGCUCAGGUCAUCAUCUCACCGUUUGUGGGUUUGAGUCCCACAUUGGGCU